UAUUUCGGAAAUAAUUUGAAAUGGCAAGCAGAAGGAUCUCUUCUUAUCUCGCUCACUUUCAACUUAUCUCACCUCUCCUGUUGGAAAUUUUCAAUAAUCUCCCAUUUCUAUUCCCCAAUUUUGAUUAACUUUUUUGUUAAUAAUAUUUGUUUCUUUGAUCUUCUAUUUGUUUUUCGUGGGGUUUGUUAUUUUUUCUUUCACAAUUUUGUUUAGUUAUUUAUAGUAAAUUCCCCAGUUUUUGCCCAAAUUCCGACUCUUAUAUAGUAACUAUGAGUGCAGGUAACCCAUAAUUUAUCCUGUUUAAAUCAAAGGGCAUACAGAAUUUGUAGCUUUAUCACAACUGUAAUUGAUUUACUCUUGAAUUAGUCAUGUUUAGGGACCUUUACUUGAUAUGACCUGAGAUACUUAGGGUUGACUUUGCAUUUAUGUCAUGUUUCAAUGCGAGAGAGAUAUUGAUGUCAGUUGGGGUACACGGUGUUUCCUGAUUCGUUUUAAGGUUACUAAUUGUUUAGGUAGGCAGGCGUAGUAAGUUUGGGGAAGCUUUUAGUUGUGGCCUGUUAUCUUUUUUGUUUGAUGAGAUACUUACCUAAUCUCUUGAUAAAAAAAAAAAUUUUACAGUGGGUAAAUUUGUGUGAUGAUCAUUGUAUUACUAUAUUUGUGGUUCAUGGCUGAUAAAGGCAGUUAUAUAUACUGUCUCGAUGUUGCAUUGUAGGUUGUCAAUAACAAAAGUAUUCAUAUCCAUGUCAAACUAAUAGAUUCAAAGAGAACUAGAUCUUUAGGGAAUGUAAAGAAUAUGGGUGGUCACUUGGUAUUUGAAAGAAAUCAUGAAAGGUUUCACCGUUUCUAUGAACAUGCCUUUAUAGUCACAUGGUUCCAUUAUUUUACGUUUUUGCUACAUAAUUUAUUCAAUAAUUUUAUGCUGUGACUUGCUGUUUCAUUACAUUGUUGUUGCAAUCUUUUCUUUGAUUAAUUGAAGAAGGUUAAUAGUGUACUGCCUUAUGAUUCGUAAUGGGCGAAUUUUUGCAAUAAUUAGUGUGGUUUUGGUUUGAGUUUGGUGACGAGUACAUUCCUGUUGUUGUAAUUGUAAGUGUGUGUAGUCGAAAAGAUUGGGUUUAUGACUGUAAGAUGAUGUAGCCAUGUAGUUUUGAAAUGCUUUAGUCCCAAUAAGACUGAUAUUCUUCUGUAUGAUGUAAUGUAGGUACAAACGUUCUUCUGUAUUCAUUCUUCGUUCACAGAGUUGGCUUUAUGAUGAACUGCAGUGUGUGCCAUUGCAGCUGUUCUUAGAGACCUCUGCAUUGCUGAGAUGAUGGACAUGGAUCGCUAAGAGAAGCGUGUCGGAUAAAGGAACCACUCUGGACUGUCUUCGAAAUUUCAGAUGUCAUUUCUCUCAGCAUGACAAAACAAUGUUCAUUGGAGAAGAUCCUUCUUCUCAUGUGGAUGCAUUCGGGUGACUAUUCACCAUUGCUUUUUUUUUUAUGGAACUCGACAGAGACAUCUCGCUUGAUGAACUUUGUAAACAUUUUUUUAAUCUAAUUUUACAUUUAGAGGUUGUAAUGCAAUUUUAAGUUUUUAUAAUCCCGCACGCAUCGCGUGCAUAUAAG
Spinacia oleracea (spinach) is the source of this 1601-nucleotide long non-coding RNA. RefSeq lists it as uncharacterized. NCBI's taxonomy places the organism in Eukaryota, Viridiplantae, Streptophyta, Magnoliopsida, Caryophyllales, Amaranthaceae. The transcript has 4 exons. The record is from RefSeq and is a predicted model, not a curated record.